CGGGGGUGAUGUCCGUCUUUAUGCCCAGCAAAGCCAGCCCCAGUAGGAAGGAGGCGCAGCACAGGAGGAGAAGCGGCUUCUCCAGUCUCCCCAGUUCUUCAAUCUCAAAUAAAUCAUCUGUAGAGUCCCCUCCAGUUCCGAAAUUCUCUCUAUGUCUUGGAGUGUGUGGAAUAGCCAGGAAACCAGCCCAGGAGCUUUGACUCCCAGCCAUUCUAAGCAGAACUCAGUCACCCUUGACAGGGUUUCUAGUUCUACGUCACAUCCAAAUGGCUCAAGCCGGUGGCCAGAGAUAAGAAUUCAGAGACAUCUCUCCGGCCUAGAAGACUGGGCUCUCUCCUUUCCCACUGCUUCCUUUUAAAUGGGCCAUUCAGGCACCUUAAGCAAAAAGGAAGUUAGCCACACAUGGUGGCUCAUGACUGUAGUCUCAGCUACAUGGGAGGCAAGGCGAGAGGAUCUCUUGAGCCCAGGAG
RNAcentral lists this long non-coding RNA (470 nucleotides) under Homo sapiens (human). Its description in RNAcentral is "HSALNT0343844". The record is from RNAcentral. Lineage: Eukaryota; Metazoa; Chordata; Mammalia; Primates; Hominidae.